Molecule: RNA transcript, 3943 nt
Organism: Spodoptera frugiperda (fall armyworm)
Lineage: Eukaryota; Metazoa; Arthropoda; Insecta; Lepidoptera; Noctuidae
Gene: tmod
Gene name: tropomodulin-1
Exons: 12
Source: RefSeq, a predicted model, not a curated record
CCAGUAGGAUUUUAUACAACAUCAACUCUGGCCGUCUCCGCAGUGCAGCGCCAGAAAACGUUCCUAUCGACGCUUCCCGAAUAUUGGAUCGCGAUUAAUUUCUAGCACAGUAUGGGCACACCACCCGGUGAGCCCGAACUACACGACCAAAUCCGAGUUUAAAACGGUCCUCAGAAGAUAAUUCAGUUUUUCCGAUUAAUGUGUGAUACCGACCGCUUACUUGUGAACGUUCUGUGAAGUGCAGUGAAUGUGUGUCAAAGGUCUUUUGGAGUUCAGUGCAGUGGGCGAAGUAGAAUAUAACAGCAAACAUGUCGGAGUUCUUCGGACCCUGGACCGACAAGGAGGAGGGCGAGGAGGAGAUAGUGGAGGAGACGGUGGAGACCAUCACCACGACCACCACCAGGAGGCAGAUUCCUUCCAAAUCGUCAUCGACGAAAACCACGACGAUGACGACGCCUGCGACCCUCUACGGACGAGACCUGUCCGCCUACGACGAGGUGGACGUCGACGAGCUGCUAGCCAAGCUGUCGCAGGAAGAACUCACCAUGCUGGCCAAGGAGGUUGAUCCAGAUGACAACUUCCUGCCACCAUCACAACGUAACAACUAUGACUGCGAGAAGGACCCCACGGGGCCCCUGAACCGCAAGAAGCUGAUAGAACACAUUAACAAACAAGCACUGGAGACACCAGACCGGCCGGAGAUCAAGCCUUAUGUUGCUGGUGUUGUACGAGGAAAGAAGUGGAUCCCGCCCCCAGCGCCCGAGAAGGUGCGCGACGCGGAUGAACAGAUCUCCAUCGACCUCGGAGACGAGUACGAGCAGGCCCUCACUGAUGCCUCGCAAGAGGAGAUCAUUGACCUCGCUGCUAUCCUCGGCUUCCACUCGAUGAUGAACCAGGAUCAGUACCACGCGUCUCUGCUGAACAAGGGACAACCUGUUGGUCUCGGCUGGGACGGCAUCACUAAAGCCACCAAACCCAAGGUGUACCCCAUGGACCCUCCCAACGACACGGACCCCGACGAGACCAUCAAGCGGGUGCAACAGAAUGACCAGAAGCUCACUGAUCUCAAUUGGAAUAAUAUUAAGAACAUAAGCGAGGAGAAGUUCGAGAAGUUGUUCGAGGGUUUGAAGAGCAACACGUCGCUGGAGGUGUUGUCGCUGGUGAACGUGGGGCUGAACGACCGCGGCGCCGCGCUGCUGGCCGACGCGCUGCGCGUCAACUCCGCGCUGCGCGUCGUCAACGUCGAGACCAACUUCAUCUCGCCGCCCGCGCUGCUCGAACUCGUGCGGGCCCUGCUCGAUACACACGCCGUCGAGGAGUUCCGCGCCUCCAACCAGCGGUCGCAAGUGUUGGGUAACAAGAUAGAGAUGGAGAUAACGUCUCUGGUGGAGCAGAACCCCACGCUGCUGCGACUGGGCCUGCACCUCGAGUACAGCGACGCACGACACAGGAUCGCCAGCCAUCUGCAGAGGAACAUCGACAGAAAUUGUCGAGUGCUAAAGAAAGCGAGCGCGUCCCUGAGCGCCCGGCGGCCGCGCGGCCCGCCGCCCGCCGUCGGCAUCGACUCCAGCUUCUUCAACAUGACGCCGCCCAGCGCCGAGGCACUCACUCCCACCACCGAGGAACCCAAGCCCGUCAUCUCCGAGACUGUCGAGACCUCCCUCACUGUGAAGACUAAGGCGCAGCCCGACGACAGACCCACCUCCAUCACUAUAGGCGAUGGAAAAUUGGAACCAGAAACGCCUGUCACGAAUACACAACCAGUUGAACCGGUUACGACUGAAACUGUAGCACCUACCGAUAAUGUGCAACCGGUGCCUAGUGAAGACCGCCUGGCAGGCGAGCCAGUACCAGUGGCCCCUGAAGGCAAGGUGGAAGAGAGCUCAGACGCGCUCAGUCUCAGUCCGGGCGAGGAGGAGCGCUUCGUGAAGGCGACCCCGCCUGACGUUAACCCCAACCCGCACUCCAGUGAGGGGAACGUAGAACAGACCGAUAAUAUAUAGAAAUGGCCGCAUAAAAUUGUACGCCAGCAGCGACGGAGCCAGAACAGCGCUUAGAGCCUUGAACUGUCGCACGCGGCGGUCGCAUCAGACGACUGACCCAGUUCACCCGCAGCCGCAGCUACGUGGUGGGCUGGAUCCCGUGACGCGCCGCCGUCCGCCGCGCUACCUGGCUCGUGUCGCACUCCCGCGCAUCGCACGCCCCACCACACGGACUUUGUGAUUGAGUAUUUUGAACCUUACUCCACAUACAUACGUUACAAUAAACCCCUUCGUACAUAAAUCUUCAAUACUGCAUGAUUUUAAUCUUGAAACGAUUACCGCUGUACAAAUUCAUGCAUAUAUGUCAUGUGUAUGUUUGGCGGUGUACGCUUGAAAACUGAAAUUAUUCAGUAUUUGCGUAGGUUUGUAUACGAAAGGGAAGUCAUGGAGUUACAGUGUAGCUUAUGCUUAGAUUGAUACAAAAUUUCACGACUAGAAACUGUCUAUAAAAUUCAUAGUUUAAAAUAAGUCGAGGUGCUUAGAUGUUGCAAGUAAUCAUUGUUAUUUAUUUACUUGUAACUUAGAUUUUCAGAACUUUAAAGUUACAAGUAAGGUAAUAUUGAUAUUAAAUUACUUGUCACUCAAAAUACGCAAUCACAAUUAACAUGUACGGCCAGAUUAAUUUGGUACAUCUGAAGACGAAUGUUGUGUGCUAACAAGAAUUGAUAUUUUAUUGUUUUAUUCUUUCUAUAUAUAAUAUACAAGGUAAAUGGAAUACACAAACAUCACUAGCGCGAUGGCCGGCCCAUCUCUAGUAGCGACUACAUAUUUAUGAUAAAAUCACAAUUCUUGUGCUGAAGUGUGAACGAUGGACGUUUUAUUAUUAAUUCUUACUAUAGUGUGCUAAUGAAUUCGUAUUAAUUUUAUUAUGAUAUUAAAUUGUAAUAUAUUUUAUAGAUGUGCACAUUCCAUUAAUGCGAAACAUGCUUCUCUUAUUGACGCUUUUUUAGUGUUUAACAAAGUUAUAUAAAAUUUUAAUAAGUAAUACAACAUUAUAUAAUUAUUGUUGAGGUAGUUGUGCAGUAGAUAGAGCUAGUACUACGUCAGCAGCAUCAGCAGAUAUCAGCUAAUGCUGCUGACCUAUCUCGAUAAAGCACUAAAGCCGCACGGAACCUGUGGCAGUUUUAAGUUCCUUCAUAUAUUUAUUAUAUUUUUGACAAUUUUAAUAUAUUUUUUGACUAAUGAAAUUAAACUUUAUUGUGUAUGAGUAUCAGCUCAAAGUUGAAUAACAAAAAUGACUGAUUAAUUGUGACUUGCCAACAUUUUGAUUGUAAUAAUGUUAGACAAACAAUUGGAAGUGAUAUAGAGAAGCCAUGUUCUGCGUCAAUGGAGCGUAAUUUUAAAUAUUUCAAUAAAGCACUAGGUUUGUUCGCAGUGUCUUAGACUUUCGAUAUACGCCUUCGAUGGAGUUUUGUAAUUUUGGUAUUCGAUAGCAUUCUAGCUAACGCCUAGCGACGUACUGAGGCUUUUGAUAUUAUGAGGAAUAGCUUUUAUAACGUAACCUUUUGCUUUCUUGAAACAAAAAAAAAAUGCUUAAAAAUGUAACUUUAUGUAUAUUUAGUGAAUCUACUGGGGAACUAAGUGUCCAUAACAUUGUGAUACAGACAUCAUAUUUUCCAUUAAAAAUCAAUUUCGAUUUUUUUUCGUCUGUUAGUUUCAAUAAGAGAGAUUAUUUGUAUAUGAUUUUAGAUUUUUAAAAUGUAAUAUUCUUUUAAUGUGACGAUUUAUAAAGAAAAUUUUAAUUAAUAUAAAUCAUAAUUUAAUUGUAAUGUUAGUUUUAUUUAUGUUGAUAUAUUACGGUUCAGGAGCAUUUUGAUCCAACGAAAUACCUUGACUAGUAGAGUCGCAGUGCUGUAGUUUGUGACAACUGUAAAAAAUAUUAAUAAAGUACAUAAACAAUA